GAGACAUCAGUAUCUCACCCUGAGUGCGGAGGAGAGGAGCAGAGGAGGAGAGGUGCAGUGUGUGGCCCAGCAGCCCGAUGUGCAAGAACCUGCCAAUGGAACUCUCGACCUAACCGCCGUUGACCCACGAGAGAAGCUGAAGUCUCUGAACGUCUCAGCGAUCGUUCUGCCCCCCAGGGUGAUUGUGGAGAAAAAAUACAGUGCUUUUUGCUUGGCAGCCUACACUCCUCGCAGCUCUCGUGUAUCUGUGGUGUCGGAGAAAAGCUCUCUGCUGCCCUCUGCUGCUGCCUCAGGAUAUUACAAGCUACACACUCAGAAGUCGCCACGCUCGUCCUCCUGCUCCAUGAAGCAGCUGUUCUCCUCCGUCACAUUUAUACCCGACCUGUCCAUUCACAAGUGUGCAAUCUUCAAAUGCCACAUCUCGUAUAAGGGCAAAGACAAGGUUGUGGCCGAGAGAGUGUCCGACAAGUUUACUAUUCUAGCACCACCUGAAGUUUCAGAGAUCCAGUUCUCAGAGCCGAAUGAGGAAGGAGGCGUUGUGACCAUGACGGCCCAGGCCUCUGGCUUUCACCCGGACAUCAUCACCUUCCGCUGGUUCUGUGAGGGACGCUGCAGGCUUCUUCUCGGCCCUGAGCCAGUGCAGGCUCCCCGCCGCAGAGCUGGAGCGAGGAGAGACCCGGGUGUGGGACACCGUCCACCAACCUCAAACAGCCCCUCACACGCCAGACUAGAGAGCCUGCAGAGGAAGCAGCAUCUUGAUGGCUCACAGUUCUUUAGAAAUCUACAUCUUCUCUGGACGCCCACAAGAAACUUUAUAC
RNAcentral lists this long non-coding RNA (818 nucleotides) under Sinocyclocheilus anshuiensis. RNAcentral describes it as "lncRNA (ENSSANG00000014262.1)". The record is from RNAcentral. Lineage: Eukaryota; Metazoa; Chordata; Actinopteri; Cypriniformes; Cyprinidae.